UUCCAAGAACUCCUCUGCUUCAAGAAUUCGAACAAGGCUAAAACUCCCCAAGCUCUUUAAAUAUUUCAUUUUCUCCUUCUUCAAAACCCCUCAACUCCCUCAAAUCUACGAGGAAGGCCGGCUAGGGUUCGAAAACCGGACAUUGGUAAUUCGGGUUUGCACACAGUUCAUCCCCCUCUUGAGUUCCAGAUUAGCUAUGUCGACGCUUUGGACCGGCUGGAGCGCGAAUUCUGACGGUUACAAGAGUUGAAGACUGCUGGUAGCUCAACGUACACAGCCAUUUGGAUGGAAUCUCGUCUACAAGCAUGGCACGACACUCGGGCUUCGGCUGGACUUGAGAUUCAAACGCAACAAAGUCGGGUGGAUCAAAUGGAGGCCUUGGCUAUCUUGGGGAUGGCGAAGGGUGACUUGGAGCAUUCACGAGUUGUGAUAUCCGGAAAAUUGGAGCUCUCGAAAAAGAAGUUAGCCAAGAUCCAACAAGAGGCUGCGAAAACAUUAUCCCUCACCGAGGAAUCCUUCAAGGUUGCAUUGCAGUGUGAGCUUGAGCGAACUUAUACAGAGGAAUUGACUAAACUUGAACAGCAAGCCUGUAGUCACAAACUUCAUGUAGAUUGAUUGUAACUCUUGUACCUGCAAACUCAAUUUUAUUAAUAGAAAAUAUGUCUUUUUUUCAUUCA
Asparagus officinalis (garden asparagus) is the source of this 677-nucleotide long non-coding RNA. RefSeq lists it as uncharacterized. NCBI's taxonomy places the organism in Eukaryota, Viridiplantae, Streptophyta, Magnoliopsida, Asparagales, Asparagaceae. The record is from RefSeq and is a predicted model, not a curated record. The transcript is spliced from 2 exons.